AGAUUGAACGCUGGCGGCAUGCCUAACACAUGCAAGCCGAACGGGAGUAGCAAUACUCUAGUGGCGGACGGGUGAGGAAUACGUAGGAAUUUGCCCUUAAGUGGGGGAUAACCCGGGGAAACCCGGAUUAAUACCGCAUGACCUCGAAAGAGCAAAGUGGGGGAUCGCAAGACCUCACGCUUUUGGAGAAGCCUACGUCGGAUUAGCUAGUUGGUGAGGUAAUGGCUCACCAAGGCGACGAUCCGUAACUGGUCUGAGAGGAUGAUCAGUCACACCGGAACUGAGACACGGUCCGGACUCCUACGGGAGGCAGCAGUGGGGAAUAUUGGACAAUGGGCGCAAGCCUGAUCCAGCAAUGCCGCGUGUGUGAAGAAGGCCUUCGGGUUGUAAAGGUCAACUUUAAAGGUUGGGUAAAGAAAAAACGUACGACGUCCUAACACAGUGAGUCUUGACGGUACGACAGAAUAAGCACCGGCUAACUCUGUGCCAAGCAGCCGC
This 498-nucleotide ribosomal RNA is filed under the name uncultured soil bacterium. RNAcentral's name for it is "bacterial SSU rRNA". It matches the Rfam family "Bacterial small subunit ribosomal RNA", at positions 26 to 518 of the family's 1533-position model. The record is from RNAcentral.